Molecule: long non-coding RNA, 531 nt
Organism: Gallus gallus (chicken)
Lineage: Eukaryota; Metazoa; Chordata; Aves; Galliformes; Phasianidae
Exons: 2
Source: RefSeq, a predicted model, not a curated record
ACCAACCACAUGUGUAUCAGCUGAAGGGGCCCCUGCCUUCUUCUUCCUCCUCCUCAGCAGGUAAGAAGAGCCUUGUCCACAGGAACGCUUCAGGCAGGAUCGUACUUGCGCUGUCUGAAACAUGUUGCAGUGCUCUAUCUCCAGGUUGUUUGGAGUUUUGCUGCUGCUGCAGUUAAGUGGGUGAACAUCUGCCGUCCAACUGACACAGCACGAAACCAUAUCUGUCAGGAGCAGGACAUGCUGUGCUGCGAUGAAGAGAAGUUUGUGUACAGUGAAGUCUGAAGGCUUCCAUUUGCGCCUCUCCAUCCUGUUAACGAACAGUUGAGCACGCAGUAAGAACGGACUCACCCAAACCAAGUUGCACACAAGCGCCUGGCAAGACAACUGGCUUCUUCUGUUCUUGGAUGUACAUGGGAUGAAUUACACUUUCUGUUAUUCUUAAGUAACUGUGUUGACUUCUCUCUUAGUGGAACGGCUAUGACACAGCUUUUGGAGGGUUUGUAUUUUAGUUCUAGCAACUGCUGCUGAUCU